Molecule: ribosomal RNA, 1359 nt
Filed under: uncultured bacterium
Lineage: Bacteria
Description: bacterial SSU rRNA
Rfam family: Bacterial small subunit ribosomal RNA
Source: RNAcentral
GAUGAACGCUAGCUACAGGCUUAACACAUGCAAGUCGAGGGGCAGCAUGGUCUUAGCUUGCUAAGGCCGAUGGCGACCGGCGCACGGGUGAGUAACACGUAUCCAACCUGCCGUCUACUCUUGGACAGCCUUCUGAAAGGAAGAUUAAUACAAGAUGGCAUCAUGAGUCCGCAUGUUCACAUGAUUAAAGGUAUUCCGGUAGACGAUGGGGAUGCGUUCCAUUAGAUAGUAGGCGGGGUAACGGCCCACCUAGUCUUCGAUGGAUAGGGGUUCUGAGAGGAAGGUCCCCCACAUUGGAACUGAGACACGGUCCAAACUCCUACGGGAGGCAGCAGUGAGGAAUAUUGGUCAAUGGGCGAGAGCCUGAACCAGCCAAGUAGCGUGAAGGAUGACUGCCCUAUGGGUUGUAAACUUCUUUUAUAAAGGAAUAAAGUCGGGUAUGGAUACCCGUUUGCAUGUACUUUAUGAAUAAGGAUCGGCUAACUCCGUGCCAGCAGCCGCGGUAAUACGGAGGAUCCGAGCGUUAUCCGGAUUUAUUGGGUUUAAAGGGAGCGUAGAUGGAUGUUUAAGUCAGUUGUGAAAGUUUGCGGCUCAACCGUAAAAUUGCAGUUGAUACUGGAUAUCUUGAGUGCAGUUGAGGCAGGCGGAAUUCGUGGUGUAGCGGUGAAAUGCUUAGAUAUCACGAAGAACUCCGAUUGCGAAGGCAGCCUGCUAAGCUGCAACUGACAUUGAGGCUCGAAAGUGUGGGUAUCAAACAGGAUUAGAUACCCUGGUAGUCCACACGGUAAACGAUGAAUACUCGCUGUUUGCGAUAUACUGCAAGCGGCCAAGCGAAAGCGUUAAGUAUUCCACCUGGGGAGUACGCCGGCAACGGUGAAACUCAAAGGAAUUGACGGGGGCCCGCACAAGCGGAGGAACAUGUGGUUUAAUUCGAUGAUACGCGAGGAACCUUACCCGGGCUUAAAUUGCAGAUGAAUUACGGUGAAAGCCGUAAGCCGCAAGGCAUCUGUGAAGGUGCUGCAUGGUUGUCGUCAGCUCGUGCCGUGAGGUGUCGGCUUAAGUGCCAUAACGAGCGCAACCCUUGUUGUCAGUUACUAACAGGUUCCGCUGAGGACUCUGACAAGACUGCCAUCGUAAGAUGUGAGGAAGGUGGGGAUGACGUCAAAUCAGCACGGCCCUUACGUCCGGGGCUACACACGUGUUACAAUGGGGGGUACAGAGGGCCGCUACCACGCGAGUGGAUGCCAAUCCCCAAAACCUCUCUCAGUUCGGACUGGAGUCUGCAACCCGACUCCACGAAGCUGGAUUCGCUAGUAAUCGCGCAUCAGCCACGGCGCGGUGAAUACGUUCCCAGGCCCU